RNAcentral lists this ribosomal RNA (396 nucleotides) under uncultured bacterium. RNAcentral's name for it is "partial 16S ribosomal RNA". It matches the Rfam family "Bacterial small subunit ribosomal RNA", at positions 338 to 731 of the family's 1533-position model. The record is from RNAcentral.
CCUACGGGUGGCAGCAGUGAGGAAUAUUGGUCAAUGGGCGCGAGCCUGAACCAGCCAAGUAGCGUGAAGGAUGACUGCCCUACGGGUUGUAAACUUCUUUUAUAAAGGAAUAAAGUGAGGCACGUGUGCCUUUUUGUAUGUACUUGAUGAAUAAGCAUCGGCUAACUCCGUGCCAGCAGCCGCGGUAAUACGGAGGAUCCGAGCGUUAUCCGGAUUUAUUGGGUUUAAAGGGAGCGUAGAGGGGUUGUUAAGUCAGUUGUGAAAGUUUGGGGCUGAACCGGAAAAUUGCAAUUGAUACUGGCAGGCUUGAGUACAGUUGAGGUAGGCGGAAUUCGUGGUGUAGCGGUGAAAUGCAUAGAUAUCACGAAGAACCCCGAUUGCGAAGGCAGCAUACUA